AUGCACCCCUCGCUCGCGGCCCAGCCUAGGUCACAAGCUGGGGCCGCAUGGGCCCCACAGACACCCCCUCGGCUGGAGUCUAGCCCCCUUGGUUCUCUUUUGGUGAGAAACUGGCAAUAUUUUUUUCUUGAUUUUCCAGGCUAUGAAAAAUUACUUUCUCCAUUGGACUUAAGUUUGGUGCUUUUUGUAGCUUUUUCUACAAUUCCCCUCGUCCGUUGCAACAUAAAAAUUAAGAGGAAAAGACAUAAUAAUUAUGUGAUAAUGUGCAAAAUAUGGUCAAUAAGGAGUAAUUUAUACUAA
RNAcentral lists this ribosomal RNA (300 nucleotides) under Triticum aestivum (bread wheat). Its description in RNAcentral is "partial small subunit ribosomal RNA". The record is from RNAcentral. Lineage: Eukaryota; Viridiplantae; Streptophyta; Magnoliopsida; Poales; Poaceae.